This 419-nucleotide long non-coding RNA is filed under the name Androctonus crassicauda. Lineage: Eukaryota; Metazoa; Arthropoda; Arachnida; Scorpiones; Buthidae. The record is from RNAcentral.
GUUGCUGGUGUGUCCUUGUGGUUUUUGUGAACUGUUGGUUUUAUGGAUGUUGUUGGCAUACACCUUGUUUGUAUUCUACAUAGAACUGUCUUCGGAACAACGGGGACGGCUUAUUGGCAGGACAGUGGAUUUUUAUUAUUACGUUUAUUGUAAGUUAUUAUCAUUAUUUUUGGUUACUAAUAAAGUAUUUAAUCAUGGAAAAUUGCUUUUGUGGUGUGGAAUAUCUGAUAAACUGGCUGAGGGAGACUGAACUGAAGGUGGUGAUAAAAAUUCGUACCAAGUGACGAGACGAGGCGGUGGGGGAGUGGGGACCAACCCGUAGUGGAGGCAUGGGUUUUGGCCCAUUCUUCCCAUGUCAAAACCAAUACAUGUUCUGAAUGUUUUGAAACGACCACAGACCAUUCUGAAACAGAUCAGGG